RNAcentral lists this ribosomal RNA (448 nucleotides) under uncultured bacterium. Its description in RNAcentral is "SSU rRNA". It matches the Rfam family "Bacterial small subunit ribosomal RNA", at positions 26 to 518 of the family's 1533-position model. The record is from RNAcentral.
AGAGCGAACGCUGGCGGCAGGCCUAAUACAUGCAAGUCGAGCGGGUGUAGCAAUACACCAGCGGCAGGCGGGAGAGUAACACGUGGGAACGUGCCCUUCAGUUCGGAACAACCCAGGGAAACUUGGGCUAAUACCGGAUACGUCCGUAAGGAGAAAGAUUUAUCGCUGAAGGAUCGGCCCGCGUCUGAUUAGCUUGUUGGUGGGGUAAUGGCUCACCAAGGCGACGAUCAGUAGCUGGUCUGAGAGGAUGAUCAGCCUCACUGGGACUGAGACACGGCCCAGACUCCUACGGGAGGCAGCAGUAGGGAAUAUUGGACAAUGGGCGCAAGCCUGAUCCAGCCAUGCCGCGUGGGUGAUGAAGGCCCUAGGGUUGUAAAGCCCUUUCGGCGGGGAAGAUAAUGACGGUACCCGCAGAAGAAGCCCCGGCUAACUUCGUGCCAGCAGCCGC